RNAcentral lists this unclassified non-coding RNA (659 nucleotides) under Hevea brasiliensis (rubber tree). Lineage: Eukaryota; Viridiplantae; Streptophyta; Magnoliopsida; Malpighiales; Euphorbiaceae. The record is from RNAcentral.
UCAUCUGCAUUCUCAACAAGUUGGUGAACAGAGAGGGUUGCAUUGUAUGGUUCAACAACAGUGUCCGACACCUUUGGGGACGGGAACACAGAGAACGUGAGCAUCAUUCGGUCUGGAUAUUCUUCUCUGAUCUUGGAAAUGAGUAGCGUUCCCAUGCCUGAUCCAGUACCGCCUCCCAAAGAGUGGCAAACCUGAAACCCUUGCAAGCAGUCACAGUUCUCGGCCUCCUUCCUCACAACAUCGAGCACCGAGUCAAUCAACUCAGCUCCUUCGGUAUAAUGCCCCUUGGCCCAGUUGUUUCCGGCCCCGGACUGCCCGAAAACAAAGUUAUCGGGCCGGAAUAUCUGCCCGUAUGUCCCGGAUCUAACACUGUCCAUGGUGCCAGGCUCCAGAUCCAUGAGGACGGCUCGUGGAACAUACCUCCCGCAACUCGCCUCGUUGUAGUAAACAUUGACUCGCUCGAGUUGCAGAUCAUUGUCCCCUUGAUACCUUCCCGUGGAAUCGAUCCCGUGCUCGGCGCAAACCACUUCCCAGAACUUGGCACCUAUCUGGUUGCCGCAUUGGCCUCCCUGGAUGUGAAGGAUCUCACGCAUUUUGAUUCGAAGCGGUGAGUUCUGGAUAGAGAGAGAAAAGUACCGAGAAGAAAAGAACAGAGAAAG